AAAGGUAGCAUAAUCACUUGUCUCUUAAAUAGAGACUUGUAUGAAUGGCAUAACGAGGGUUUAACUGUCUCUUAUUCUUAAUCAGUGAAAUUGACCUCUCCGUGCAGAGGCGGAGAUAAACAUACAAGACGAGAAGACCCUGUGGAGCUUAAGACUAAUAAAUUAAUUCAACUCACUAUUAACCAAGGAAGCAAUAUAAUGAAAUAUAACUUAUAGUCUUUGGUUGGGGUGACCUCGGAGUACAAAAUAACCUCCGAAUGAUAUAACUAAGAUUUACAAAUCUAAGUGUAAUAAUACCAGUAAUUGACCCAUAUUUUGAUCAACGGACCAAGUUACCCCAGGGACAACAGCGCAAUCCUAUUUAAGAGCCCAUAUCGACAAUUAGGGUUUACGACCUCGAUGUUGGAUCAGGACAUCCAAAUGGUGCAACCGCUAUUAAUGGUUCGUUUGUUCAACGAUUAAAGUCCUACGUGAUCUGAGUUCAGACCGGAGAAAUCCAGGUCGGUUUCUAUCUGUAUAUUUAUUUCUCCCAGUACGAAAGGACAAGAGAAAUAAGGCCAACAUUAACAGAUGAGCCUUAGA
RNAcentral lists this ribosomal RNA (582 nucleotides) under Perameles bougainville bougainville. RNAcentral describes it as "partial 16S ribosomal RNA". It matches the Rfam family "Bacterial large subunit ribosomal RNA", at positions 1952 to 2760 of the family's 2925-position model. Lineage: Eukaryota; Metazoa; Chordata; Mammalia; Peramelemorphia; Peramelidae. The record is from RNAcentral.